UGCUGCCGACGGAACGCAACACGGACGACAUACGACAUGGAUAUGCUUAUGUAUGUAUACAUUGCUGGCAAGGGUUGCCACAAAAGGGCAAAGUGUGUGGUCAUUUUGUUCGUAUGUAUAUCGUAUUACAUAAAUUAUCUUGUAGUUAGCUCUUGGAAAACACCUUUGAAUAGACCUCACUCAUGGCCUUAGCUAUUGGCUAACUAAACUGUCGAAUUUGUGUGCAUAUUUUUGAACUGAUCUUGCGAAAAGAUUCUAAUACAAACAACAACAGAAAAGGUUCUACAUAUAUCGAAUUUUAGGAUGAAUGCUUUGGAUUGAACACCAUCUCCGGCAGCGUCCUCUCGCACAGUUCCAUCUGAAUGCUCUUCAGGAUAUGAAGGAGUCUUAUUUUAAUCUCCAAUGCUCCAGGGCCAAUGCAGCCACUAGGAUCAGCAUCAAAGGAAAAAUACGUGGUGCUGCUGACGUUACUUCGGCGAGAAGCGUUCCGGAUCGAAUUGGUUCGGACUUGGCCUUUUGCAGGAAAUGUGUCUUUUAAAGAUACAUAUAUACUCUAUAUGAUCGUACCACGGGAUCCCGAUGGAGUCCUAGCACUGAGAUACAUGGGACCACCUACAACAGCAAUCCAGGAAUGCAGUGGGAAGAUACAGCCAGAAAUGUAUCCUAUAGCACCAUCUGUCGUUGCAAUCCACACAACUCUGAGUGUGAUGAUCACGUCGACACGUGGAAAGUCUGAACACAACUGUAGUCUUUUCCACCUUUUAAAGUGAAUUAUGCUUAAUUUUAGCUAACCAAGUAUGCUGAUUACGUAACGCAAACAGAAGCUUGAACAGGACUUAUAUUAACUCCAGCUGCUUUGAUUGUUCUUCACUAUUGGACAACUGCCAUUAAGUUUGAACUACAUAUAUAAUUGAAUUAAAAUAAU
This is a long non-coding RNA of Drosophila miranda, 925 nucleotides long. RefSeq lists it as uncharacterized. The transcript has 3 exons. Lineage: Eukaryota; Metazoa; Arthropoda; Insecta; Diptera; Drosophilidae. The record is from RefSeq and is a predicted model, not a curated record.